UACGGGGGGGGUAAGCGUUGUUCGGAAUUACUGGGCGUAAAGGGCUCGUAGGCGGCCAACUAAGUCAUACGUGAAAUCCCUCAGCUUAACUGGGGAACUGCGUGUGAUACUGGAUGGCUUGGAUUUGGGAGAGGGAUGCGGAAUUCCAGGUGUAGCGGUGAAAUGCGUAGAUAUCGCUUGGAACGCCGACGGUGAAAACAGCUCGCUGGGGAUUCGCUGACGCUGAGACACGAAAGCCAGGGGAGCAAACGGG
RNAcentral lists this ribosomal RNA (253 nucleotides) under uncultured bacterium. Its description in RNAcentral is "partial 16S ribosomal RNA". It matches the Rfam family "Bacterial small subunit ribosomal RNA", at positions 524 to 776 of the family's 1533-position model. The record is from RNAcentral.